Molecule: ribosomal RNA, 486 nt
Filed under: uncultured bacterium
Lineage: Bacteria
Description: bacterial SSU rRNA
Rfam family: Bacterial small subunit ribosomal RNA
Source: RNAcentral
GGUGAACGCUGGCGGCGUGGAUUAGGCAUGCAAGUCGAACGGUAUCAUCCUUCGGGGGUGAGAGAGUGGCGAACUGGUGAGUAACACGUAGGUUAUCUACCCUCAAGACGGGGACAACCCAGGGAAACUUGGGCUAAUACCGGAUGUGAGCAACUUUUAGUUGUUUGAAAGGUGGCGUAAGCUGUCGCUUGGGGAUGAGCCUGCGUCCUAUUAGUUAGUUGGUGAGGUAACGGCUCACCUAGGCAAUGAUAGGUAGGCGGCCUUAACGGGUGGUCGCCCACACUGGGAUUGAGAUACGGCCCAGACUCCUACGGGAGGCAGCAGUCGAGAAUAGUCUACAAUGGUCGGAAGACUGAUAGUGCGACGCCGCGUGAACGAUGAAUCCCUUCGGGGUGUAAAGUUCUUUUAUAUGUGAGCAGUGCUUCUUAUAUUAACAGUAUGGGGAGAGAGAUAUUAGCAUAUGAAUAAGCAACGGCUAACUCCGUG